AUUGAACGCUGGCGGCAGGCCUAACACAUGCAAGUCGAGCGGUAGCACAGAGAGCUUGCUCUCGGGUGACGAGCGGCGGACGGGUGAGUAAUGUCUGGGAAACUGCCUGAUGGAGGGGGAUAACUACUGGAAACGGUAGCUAAUACCGCAUAACGUCGCAAGACCAAAGUGGGGGACCUUCGGGCCUCAUGCCAUCAGAUGUGCCCAGAUGGGAUUAGCUAGUAGGUGGGGUAAUGGCUCACCUAGGCGACGAUCCCUAGCUGGUCUGAGAGGAUGACCAGCCACACUGGAACUGAGACACGGUCCAGACUCCUACGGGAGGCAGCAGUGGGGAAUAUUGCACAAUGGGCGCAAGCCUGAUGCAGCCAUGCCGCGUGUAUGAAGAAGGCCUUCGGGUUGUAAAGUACUUUCAGCGAGGAGGAAGGCGUUAAGGUUAAUAACCUUGGUGAUUGACGUUACUCGCAGAAGAAGCACCGGCUAACUCCGUGCCAGCAGCCGCGGUAAUACGGAGGGUGCAAGCGUUAAUCGGAAUUACUGGGCGUAAAGCGCACGCAGGCGGUCUGUCAAGUCGGAUGUGAAAUCCCCGGGCUCAACCUGGGAACUGCAUUCGAAACUGGCAGGCUAGAGUCUUGUAGAGGGGGGUAGAAUUCCAGGUGUAGCGGUGAAAUGCGUAGAGAUCUGGAGGAAUACCGGUGGCGAAGGCGGCCCCCUGGACAAAGACUGACGCUCAGGUGCGAAAGCGUGGGGAGCAAACAGGAUUAGAUACCCUGGUAGUCCACGCCGUAAACGAUGUCGACUUGGAGGUUGUGCCCUUGAGGCGUGGCUUCCGGAGCUAACGCGUUAAGUCGACCGCCUGGGGAGUACGGCCGCAAGGUUAAAACUCAAAUGAAUUGACGGGGGCCCGCACAAGCGGUGGAGCAUGUGGUUUAAUUCGAUGCAACGCGAAGAACCUUACCUACUCUUGACAUCCAGAGAACUUAGCAGAGAUGCUUUGGUGCCUUCGGGAACUCUGAGACAGGUGCUGCAUGGCUGUCGUCAGCUCGUGUUGUGAAAUGUUGGGUUAAGUCCCGCAACGAGCGCAACCCUUAUCCUUUGUUGCCAGCGGUCCGGCCGGGAACUCAAAGGAGACUGCCAGUGAUAAACUGGAGGAAGGUGGGGAUGACGUCAAGUCAUCAUGGCCCUUACGAGUAGGGCUACACACGUGCUACAAUGGCAUAUACAAAGAGAAGCGACCUCGCGAGAGCAAGCGGACCUCAUAAAGUAUGUCGUAGUCCGGAUUGGAGUCUGCAACUCGACUCCAUGAAGUCGGAAUCGCUAGUAAUCGUAGAUCAGAAUGCUACGGUGAAUACGUUCCCGGGCCUUGUACACACCGCCCGUCACACCAUGGGAGUGGGUUGCAAAAGAAGUAGGUAGCUUAACCUUCGG
Molecule: ribosomal RNA, 1425 nt
Filed under: artificial sequences
Description: bacterial SSU rRNA
Rfam family: Bacterial small subunit ribosomal RNA
Source: RNAcentral